AAUUUUGGACAAUGUGGGAAACCCCGAUCCAGCCAUCCCGUGUGUAUGAUGAAGGCCUUCGGGUUGUAUAGUACUUUUGGUAGAUAAGAAAAGGUAUCCUCUAAUUCGUGAUACUGCUGAUGGUAUCUGCAGAAUAAGCACUGGCUAACUACGUGCUAGCAGCCGCGGUAAUACGUAGGGUGCAAGCGUUAAUCGGAAUUACUGGGCGUAAAGCGUGUGUAGGCGGUUCGGAAAGAAAGAUGUGAAAUCCCAGGGCUCAACCUUGGAACUGCAUUUUUAACUGCCGAGCUAGAGUAUAUCAGAGGGGGGUAGAAUUCCACGUGUAGCAGUGAAAUGCGUAGAUAUGUGGAGGAAUACCGAUGGCGAAGGCAGCCCCCUGGGAUAAUACUGACGCUCAGACACGAAAGCGUGGGGAGCAAACAGG
RNAcentral lists this ribosomal RNA (424 nucleotides) under uncultured bacterium. RNAcentral describes it as "partial 16S ribosomal RNA". It matches the Rfam family "Bacterial small subunit ribosomal RNA", at positions 360 to 776 of the family's 1533-position model. The record is from RNAcentral.